Molecule: ribosomal RNA, 490 nt
Filed under: uncultured Cytophagales bacterium
Lineage: Bacteria; Pseudomonadati; Bacteroidota; Sphingobacteriia; Sphingobacteriales
Description: bacterial SSU rRNA
Rfam family: Bacterial small subunit ribosomal RNA
Source: RNAcentral
GAUGAACGCUAGCGNCAGGCCUAACACAUGCAGGUCGAGGGGCAGCACGAAUUAGCUUGCUAAUUUGGUGGCGACCGGCGCACGGGUGCGUAACGCGUAUGCAACCUACCUUAUACAGGGGUAUAGCCCGGAGAAAUUCGGAUUAAUCCCCCAUGGUACUGAGACACCGCAUGGUGCUUCAGUUAAAGCUUCGGCGGUAUAAGAUGGGCAUGCGUCCUAUUAGCUAGAUGGUAAGGUAACGGCUUACCAUGGCUACGAUAGGUAGGGGGCCUGAGAGGGUGGUCCCCCACACUGGUACUGAGACACGGACCAGACUCCUACGGGAGGCAGCAGUGAGGAAUAUUGGUCAAUGGGCACAAGCCUGAACCAGCCAUGCCGCGUGCAGGAAGAAUGCCCUAUGGGUUGUAAACUGCUUUUAUUUGGGAAUAAACNUUUCUACGUGUAGGAAGCUGAAGGUACCAAAUGAAUAAGCACCGGCUAACUCCGUGCC